GAUGAACGCUGGCGGCGUGCCUAAUACAUGCAAGUCGAACGAAACUUCUUUAUCACCGAGUGCUUGCACUCACCGAUAAAGAGUUGAGUGGCGAACGGGUGAGUAACACGUGGGCAACCUGCCCAAAAGAGGGGGAUAACACUUUGAAACAGGUGCUAAUACCGCAUAACCAUAGUUACCGCAUGGUAACUAUGUAAAAGGUGGCUAUACUACCGCUUUUGGAUGGGCCCGCGGCGCAUUAGCUAGUUGGUAGGGUAAAGGCUUACCAAGGCAAUGAUGCGUAGCCGAAUUGAGAGGUUGAUCGGCCACAUUGGGACUGAGACACGGCCCAAACUCCUACGGGAGGCAGCAGUAGGGAAUCUUCCACAAUGGGCGAAAGCCUGAUGGAGCAACGCCGCGUGGGUGAAGAAGGUCUUCGGAUCGUAAAACCCUGUUGUUAGAGAAGAAAGUGCGUGAGAGUAACUGUUCACGUUUCGACGGUAUCUAACCAGAAAGCCACGGCUAACUACGUG
RNAcentral lists this ribosomal RNA (512 nucleotides) under uncultured bacterium. Its description in RNAcentral is "partial 16S ribosomal RNA". It matches the Rfam family "Bacterial small subunit ribosomal RNA", at positions 28 to 507 of the family's 1533-position model. The record is from RNAcentral.